CUAUCGGCUCUACGCGUAGUAAUACUCCUCGCGAUUGAGUCCGGUAGGUCUACUUGCCAGCAACCCUAAUUUUUUAAGGUUGACCUCGGAUCAGGUAGGGAUACCCGCUGAACUUAAGCAUAUCAAUAAGCGGAGGAAAAGAAACCAACAGGGAUUACCUCAGUAACGGCGAGUGAAGCGGUAACAGCUCAAAUUUGAAAGCUGGCUCUUUUAGGGUCCGCGUUGUAAUUUGUAGAAGAUGCUUCGGGUGUGGCCCCGGUCUAAGUUCCUUGGAACAGGACGUCAUAGAGGGUGAGAAUCCCGUAUGUGACUGGGUGCUUUCGCUCAUGUGAAGCUCUUUCGACGAGUCGAGUUGUUUGGGAAUGCAGCUCAAAAUGGGUGGUAAAUUUCAUCUAAAGCUAAAUAUUGGCCAGAGACCGAUAGCGCACAAGUAGAGUGAUCGAAAGAUGAAAAGCACUUUGGAAAGAGAGUUAAACAGUACGUGAAAUUGUUGAAAGGGAAGCGCUUGCAACCAGACUUGCGCGCUGAUGAUCAUCCGGGCUUCUGUCCGGUGCACUCGUCUGCGCUCAGGCCAGCAUCGGUUUCGGUGGUGGGAUAAAGGCCUUGGGAAUGUGGCUCCUCUCGGGGAGUGUUAUAGCCCUCGGUGCAAUGCCGCCUACCGGGACCGAGGACCGCGCUUCGGCUAGGAUGCUGGCGUAAUGGUUGUAAGCGACC
This 714-nucleotide ribosomal RNA is filed under the name uncultured fungus. RNAcentral describes it as "eukaryotic LSU rRNA". The stretch from base 81 to 714 matches the Rfam family "Eukaryotic large subunit ribosomal RNA", at positions 1 to 649 of the family's 3401-position model. The record is from RNAcentral. Lineage: Eukaryota; Fungi.